Molecule: transfer RNA, 73 nt
Filed under: Canis lupus dingo (dingo)
Lineage: Eukaryota; Metazoa; Chordata; Mammalia; Carnivora; Canidae
Rfam family: tRNA
About the family: Transfer RNA (tRNA) molecules are approximately 80 nucleotides in length. Their secondary structure includes four short double-helical elements and three loops (D, anti-codon, and T loops).
Source: Rfam by way of RNAcentral
ACUUAGCUGGCUCAGUUCCUAGAGCAUGAGACUCUUGAUCUCAGGGUUGUGAGUUUGAACCCCACGUUGGGAA